CUACGGGUCGCUCCAGUAGGGAAUAUUGCGCAAUGGGCGAAAGCCUGACGCAGCGACGCCGCGUGAGUGAUGAAGGUCCUCUGGAUUGUAAAGCUCUGUAAGGAGGGAAGAACCGCCUGGUGUAACGGCCAGGUCUGACGGUACCUCCAAAGUAAGCACCGGCUAAAUAAGUGCCAGCAGCCGCGGUAAUACUUAUGGUGCGAGCGUUGUCCGGAAUGACUGGGCGUAAAGGGUGCGUAGGCGGACUUUCAAGUCAGGUGUAAAAUCCCCGGGCUUAACCUGGGAACUACACUUAAAACUAAAAGUCGAGAGUAUGUGAGGGGUUAGCGGAAUUCCCGGAGUAGCGGUGAAAUGCGUAGAGAUCGGGAAGAACACCGGUGGCGAAGGCGGCUAACUGGCACAUGACUGACGCUGAGGCACGAAAGCGUGGGGAGCGAACGGGAUUAGAUACCCUGGUAGUC
RNAcentral lists this ribosomal RNA (461 nucleotides) under uncultured bacterium. RNAcentral's name for it is "partial 16S ribosomal RNA". It matches the Rfam family "Bacterial small subunit ribosomal RNA", at positions 339 to 795 of the family's 1533-position model. The record is from RNAcentral.